GUCMCWRCCUCUAGCUGUUUCAUKGGCCCUCUAGMKRCRKGCUSKRRMKSCCKCCWSUGKGAUGGAUAUCUKCMSAAUUCGCCCUUAGAGUUUGAUCCUGGCUCAGAACGAACGCUGGCGGCGUGCUUAACACAUGCAAGUCGAACGUGAUCCAGAGCUUGCUCUGGUGAAAGUGGCGCACGGGUGAGUAACGCGUGGAUAACCUGCCCUGGUAUCUGGGAUAACAUCUCGAAAGGGGUGCUAAUACCGGAUAAGCCUACGGACUCCUCGGAGUCUGCAGGAAAAGGAGGCCUCUAUUUAUAAGCUUCCGUAUCAUGAUGGGUCCGCGUACCAUUAGCUAGUUGGUGGGGUAAUGGCCUACCAAGGCGACGAUGGUUAGCUGGUCUGAGAGGAUGAUCAGCCACACUGGAACUGAGACACGGUCCAGACUCCUACGGGAGGCAGCAGUGGGGAAUUUUGCGCAAUGGGGGAAACCCUGACGCAGCAACGCCGCGUGAGUGAUGAAGGCUUUCGGGUCGUAAAGCUCUGUCAGAGGGGAAGAAAUGAAACGUGCUAAUAUCACGUUUUCUUGACGGUACCCUCAAAGGAAGCACCGGCUAACUCCGUGCCAGCAGCCGCGGUAAUAC
RNAcentral lists this ribosomal RNA (626 nucleotides) under uncultured Geobacteraceae bacterium. Its description in RNAcentral is "bacterial SSU rRNA". The stretch from base 80 to 626 matches the Rfam family "Bacterial small subunit ribosomal RNA", at positions 1 to 526 of the family's 1533-position model. Lineage: Bacteria; Pseudomonadati; Thermodesulfobacteriota; Desulfuromonadia; Geobacterales; Geobacteraceae. The record is from RNAcentral.